GCAGUCGAGCGGUAGCACGGGAGAGCUUGCUCUCUGGGUGACGAGCGGCGGACGGGUGAGUAAUGUCUGGGGAUCUGCCUGAUGGAGGGGGAUAACUACUGGAAACGGUAGCUAAUACCGCAUAACGUCGCAAGACCAAAGAGGGGGACCUUCGGGCCUCUUGCCAUCAGAUGAACCCAGAUGGGAUUAGCUAGUAGGUGGGGUAAUGGCUCACCUAGGCGACGAUCCCUAGCUGGUCUGAGAGGAUGACCAGCCACACUGGAACUGAGACACGGUCCAGACUCCUACGGGAGGCAGCAGUGGGGAAUAUUGCACAAUGGGCGCAAGCCUGAUGCAGCCAUGCCGCGUGUAUGAAGAAGGCCUUCGGGUUGUAAAGUACUUUCAGCGAGGAGGAAGGCGUUAAGGUUAAUAACCUUAGCGAUUGACGUUACUCGCAGAAGAAGCACCGGCUAACUCCGUGCCAGCAGCCGCGGUAAUACGGAGGGUGCAAGCGUUAAUCGGAAUUACUGGGCGUAAAGCGCACGCAGGCGGUUUGUUAAGUCGGAUGUGAAAUCCCCGGGCUCAACCUGGGAACUGCAUUCGAAACUGGCAAGCUUGAGUCUUGUAGAGGGGGGUAGAAUUCCAGGUGUAGCGGUGAAAUGCGUAGAGAUCUGGAGGAAUACCGGUGGCGAAGGCGGCCCCCUGGACAAAGACUGACGCUCAGGUGCGAAAGCGUGGGGAGCAAACAGGAUUAGAUACCCUGGUAGUCCACGCCGUAAACGAUGUCGACUUGGAGGUUGUGCCCUUGAGGCGUGGCUUCCGGAGCUAACGCGUUAAGUCGACCGCCUGGGGAGUACGGCCGCAAGGUUAAAACUCAAAUGAAUUGACGGGGGCCCGCACAAGCGGUGGAGCAUGUGGUUUAAUUCGAUGCAACGCGAAGAACCUUACCUACUCUUGACAUCCAGAGAACUUUCCAGAGAUGGAUUGGUGCCUUCGGGAACUCUGAGACAGGUGCUGCAUGGCUGUCGUCAGCUCGUGUUGUGAAAUGUUGGGUUAAGUCCCGCAACGAGCGCAACCCUUAUCCUUUGUUGCCAGCGGUUCGGCCGGGAACUCAAAGGAGACUGCCAGUGAUAAACUGGAGGAAGGUGGGGAUGACGUCAAGUCAUCAUGGCCCUUACGAGUAGGGCUACACACGUGCUACAAUGGCGCAUACAAAGAGAAGCGACCUCGCGAGAGCAAGCGGACCUCAUAAAGUGCGUCGUAGUCCGGAUUGGAGUCUGCAACUCGACUCCAUGAAGUCGGAAUCGCUAGUAAUCGUAGAUCAGAAUGCUACGGUGAAUACGUUCCCGGGCCUUGUACACACCGCCCGUCACACCAUGGGAGUGGGUUGCAAAAGAAGUAGGUAGCUUAACCUUCGGGAGGGCGCU
This 1406-nucleotide ribosomal RNA is filed under the name Cedecea sp. Its description in RNAcentral is "bacterial SSU rRNA". It matches the Rfam family "Bacterial small subunit ribosomal RNA". The record is from RNAcentral. Lineage: Bacteria; Pseudomonadati; Pseudomonadota; Gammaproteobacteria; Enterobacterales; Enterobacteriaceae.